AGUGGAAUUGCUGGGUUGCAUGGUCAGUUUAACAUUUUAAGAAACUGCCAAACUGUCUUUCAAAAUGGCUCUGCCACUUUUCACUCCCACUAACAAU
This 97-nucleotide microRNA precursor is filed under the name Marmota monax (woodchuck). Lineage: Eukaryota; Metazoa; Chordata; Mammalia; Rodentia; Sciuridae. The record is from RNAcentral.